UUUCGGAUCGCGGCGACGCCGGCGGUUCGCCGCCGGUGACGUUGUGAGAAGUUCAUUAAACCUUAUCAUUUAGAGGAAGGAGAAGUCGUAACAAGGUUUCCGUAGGUGAACCUGCGGAAGGAUCAUUG
Molecule: ribosomal RNA, 128 nt
Filed under: Frullania chevalieri
Lineage: Eukaryota; Viridiplantae; Streptophyta; Jungermanniopsida; Porellales; Frullaniaceae
Also listed under: 9 other names
Description: partial 18S ribosomal RNA
Rfam family: Eukaryotic small subunit ribosomal RNA
Source: RNAcentral